CUACGGGGCGCUCCAGUGGGGAAUAUUGCACAAUGGAGGAAACUCUGAUGCAGCAACGCCGCGUGGAGGAUGACACUUUUCGGAGCGUAAACUCCUUUUAUAUAGGAAGAAGAUGACGGUACUAUAUGAAUAAGCGCCGGCUAACUCCGUGCCAGCAGCCGCGGUAGUACGGAGGGCGCAAGCGUUACUCGGAAUCACUGGGCGUAAAGAGCGUGUAGGCGGAUUAAAAAGUCAGAAGUGAAAUCCUAUAGCUUAACUAUAGAACUGCUUCUGAAACUCUUAAUCUAGAAUAUGGGAGAGGUAGAUGGAAUUUCUGGUGUAGGGGUAAAAUCCGUAGAGAUCAGAAGGAAUACCGAUUGCGAAGGCGAUCUCCUGGAACAUUACUGACGCUAAGGCGUGAAAGCGUGGGGAGCAAACAGGAUUAGAUACCCCCGUAGUC
RNAcentral lists this ribosomal RNA (439 nucleotides) under uncultured bacterium. Its description in RNAcentral is "partial 16S ribosomal RNA". It matches the Rfam family "Bacterial small subunit ribosomal RNA", at positions 339 to 795 of the family's 1533-position model. The record is from RNAcentral.